This is a small nuclear RNA of Microtus ochrogaster (prairie vole), 102 nucleotides long. NCBI's taxonomy places the organism in Eukaryota, Metazoa, Chordata, Mammalia, Rodentia, Cricetidae. The record is from Ensembl.
CUGCUCCCUUCUGCAGCACCCAUACCAAAAUUGGAAUGAUACACAGAUUCAUGGCCCCUGCGCAAGGAUGACACGCAAAUUUGUUAAGCGUUCCUUAUUUUU